RNAcentral lists this unclassified non-coding RNA (330 nucleotides) under Hevea brasiliensis (rubber tree). The record is from RNAcentral. Lineage: Eukaryota; Viridiplantae; Streptophyta; Magnoliopsida; Malpighiales; Euphorbiaceae.
CUUCAACUGAUCUUCCUGCUUCGUCACCUGCUGUUCAAUCACAGUUCAAUGAUCGUGUAGGUUAUGGUGGACCUGGAGGAGGUUCCCGUGGGGCUGGUGCUCCUAGACCUGAUUAUGGGCGUCCAGGAUAUGUUUCUGGUGUUCGAACUGGUGGCAGCAGUGUUGGUGGUGGUUGGAACAAUAGAAGUGGUGGUUGGGACCGUGGGAGGGAGCGUGAGGUGAAUCCAUUUGGCAAUGAUGAUGGUGAAGUGGAGAGCACAUUUGGUGAACAAGAAAAUACAGGCAUUAACUUUGAUGCGUAUGAGGAUAUUCCGGUGGAGACAAGUGGGA